UGAUAAUCAGAUGUCAACUGCUCAUCCAAGUUCCUCUGUUUUUCUCAUUGGAUUUCUCUUGGUUUUGAUACAUCCGCGGUGAAGCAUGUUAUAUUGGGGAACCUGGGGUGACGGAUGUGUGUCUUCUUGGUUGUGAUAUUAAGAGUAGCGUGGGGCUGGAGGCGUUGCAUGCUAGUUGAUUUAAUUGUGGUGACAUUUGUGGAGGCGUCAGUCGCUCUGUCUGCGCAAUUGAUAUAACAACUUGGUCUACUGUUUGUGUAUGCUGCAGGUAGGGAUAUAAAUGGCAGCUUUGAUGGAUUGUUGAUAGCUGUAGGGUCGGCAUGGCCCAAAUCAUGUACUAUCUUAAUUUCCCGUUUCAAUUCUUUGUAAUAAUAAUUUCCAUGAAAACGUUAUUCGCUUGUUUGAUUGUCAGUUAAUUUGAUCAUAA
Papaver somniferum (opium poppy) is the source of this 427-nucleotide long non-coding RNA. RefSeq lists it as uncharacterized. The transcript has 2 exons. Lineage: Eukaryota; Viridiplantae; Streptophyta; Magnoliopsida; Ranunculales; Papaveraceae. The record is from RefSeq and is a predicted model, not a curated record.